RNAcentral lists this ribosomal RNA (465 nucleotides) under uncultured bacterium. RNAcentral describes it as "bacterial SSU rRNA". It matches the Rfam family "Bacterial small subunit ribosomal RNA", at positions 338 to 795 of the family's 1533-position model. The record is from RNAcentral.
CCUACGGGGUGCAGCAGUAGGGAAUCUUCCGCAAUGGACGAAAGUCUGACGGAGCAACGCCGCGUGAGCGAAGAAGGCCUUCGGGUCGUAAAGCUCUGUUGUUAGGGAAGAACAAGUAACGCAGUAACUGGCGUUACCGUGACGGUACCUAACGAGAAAGCCACGGCUAACUACGUGCCAGCAGCCGCGGUAAUACGUAGGUGGCAAGCGUUGUCCGGAAUUAUUGGGCGUAAAGGGCUCGCAGGCGGUUUCUCAAGUCUGAUGUGAAAGCCCCCGGCUCAACCGGGGAGGGUCAUUGGAAACUGGGAGACUUGAGUGCAGAAGAGGAGAGUGGAAUUCCAUGUGUAGCGGUGAAAUGCGUAGAUAUAUGGAGGAACACCAGUGGCGAAGGCGGCUCUCUGGUCUGUAACUGACGCUGAGGCUCGAAAGCGUGGGGAGCAAACAGGAUUAGAUACCCUGGUAGUC